AUACCUUUCUUGGCCUUUUGGCUAAGAUCAAGUGUAGUAUUUGUUCUAUAUCUGAUAUGUGGGCCAUGUGCCCACAAUGAUAUUAAAUUUAUUUUUUAUGAGGGAGGGACCACCACAAUGGCUUGCAAUUGGGUUAAUCAUGUGUUGCCUAGUGCGUUGCACUACUGCCUGGGCUGGCACACCCCAA
Molecule: non-coding RNA, 187 nt
Organism: Triticum aestivum (bread wheat)
Lineage: Eukaryota; Viridiplantae; Streptophyta; Magnoliopsida; Poales; Poaceae
Source: Rfam